GACGAACGCUGGCGGCGUGCUUAACACAUGCAAGUCGAACGGAAAGGCCCUGCUUUUGUGGGGUGCUCGAGUGGCGAACGGGUGAGUAACACGUGAGUAACCUGCCCUUGACUUUGGGAUAACUUCAGGAAACUGGGGCUAAUACCGGAUAGGAGCUCCUGCUGCAUGGUGGGGGUUGGAAAGUUUCGGCGGUUGGGGAUGGACUCGCGGCUUAUCAGCUUGUUGGUGGGGUAGUGGCUUACCAAGGCUUUGACGGGUAGCCGGCCUGAGAGGGUGACCGGCCACAUUGGGACUGAGAUACGGCACAGACCCCUACGGGAGGCAGCAGUGGGGAAUAUUGCACAAUGGGCGGAAGCCUGAUGCAGCAACGCCGCGUGCGGGAUGACGGCCUUCGGGUUGUAAACCGCUUUCGCCUGUGACGAAGCGUGAGUGACGGUAAUGGGUAAAGAAGCACCGGCUAACUACGUG
Molecule: ribosomal RNA, 468 nt
Filed under: uncultured bacterium
Lineage: Bacteria
Description: partial 16S ribosomal RNA
Rfam family: Bacterial small subunit ribosomal RNA
Source: RNAcentral